GAUGAACGCUGGCGGCGUGCCUAAUACAUGCAAGUCGAGCGAACAGACGAGGAGCUUGCUCCUCUGACGUUAGCGGCGGACGGGUGAGUAACACGUGGAUAACCUACCUAUAAGACUGGGAUAACUUCGGGAAACCGGAGCUAAUACCGGAUAAUAUAUUGAACCGCAUGGUUCAAUAGUGAAAGACGGUUUUGCUGUCACUUAUAGAUGGAUCCGCGCCGCAUUAGCUAGUUGGUAAGGUAACGGCUUACCAAGGCAACGAUGCGUAGCCGACCUGAGAGUGAGAUGGAAGGCAGGGCGCAGGUGACACGGUCCAGACUCCAGGGGGAGGUAGGGAUAGAGCUUCGGGCGCGAGGGGUGAGAGGCUGACGGAGCAGCGCGGAGAGAUAGAUGAAGGUCUUCGGAUCGUGAAACUCUGUUAUUGUGGAAGAACAAAUGUGAGAGUGACAAUGCAGGUAUUAACAUAACCUGAUCGGAAAGCCACCGCUAGCUACGUC
Molecule: ribosomal RNA, 497 nt
Filed under: uncultured bacterium
Lineage: Bacteria
Description: partial 16S ribosomal RNA
Rfam family: Bacterial small subunit ribosomal RNA
Source: RNAcentral